This 21-nucleotide non-coding RNA is filed under the name Arabidopsis thaliana (thale cress). Lineage: Eukaryota; Viridiplantae; Streptophyta; Magnoliopsida; Brassicales; Brassicaceae. The record is from RNAcentral.
UGAACUUCUCGAUAUCCCGCA